Molecule: long non-coding RNA, 629 nt
Organism: Apis mellifera (honey bee)
Lineage: Eukaryota; Metazoa; Arthropoda; Insecta; Hymenoptera; Apidae
Exons: 2
Source: RefSeq, a predicted model, not a curated record
UUCGUUUUUUCUUGAAUAACCUAUUCAAAAUAAAAUUUAUCGAUAUUUGAAUAAUUCAUACUUUGCUUACUGUUCAAUAUCUCACACAAGUACACAACGUUGUUUCUCUUAUUCAACUCCUCAAGAAAUAGUACACGUCUCUUCACUGUCUCAAAGUGGAUCGUGAAAUCUUGAAAACAGAACCUACCCCAACGAUGUUACGCUUCACAUGUUCAAUGAACUCACGAGAACCGCUUCAAGGGGUUUAAUUUCGGCCUGACUGAUGUGUAUGGUAACCCAUCCCCACUCGGAGAAAUUAUACGGUUAGAUAUAUAUACAAUCCAUUUUGAUGAUAUCAAGGUUUUCUUUGGCUGUCGGUAGGUGUGGCCAAUUCCAUUUGAAAACCGACGUCGCAUCGCACGAAUGGUAACAUCGAGAUUCAUCAAAGAUGCAAAUUUCAUUGGAAUUUUUGAGUAUUGGAUUUGAGGUUCUCUUUGAAGUUCUAUGCAAAGACGGAAAGAUGGCACUCGCAGCAGUACAACGGCAAAAGAUCUUAUCUAUUUGCUUUGUGCAAUUUAGUGUCGCGUUGUUAGAAGAUCUAAUUUGUUAACGUAGUACUUUUAGGUAAUAAACGUGUCUAUUUCUAUGAA